AGAGUUUGAUCCUGGCUCAGAACGAACGCUGGCGGCGUGCUUAACACAUGCAAGUCGAGUGCGCGGUUGUAGCAAUACGACUGGCGCACGGCGCACGGGUGCGUAACACGUGGGCAAUCUGCCCUUCGAUGGGGAAUAUCUUCGGGAAACCGAAGCGAAUUCCGCAUAACAUUCCUUGGACUUCGGUUCGAGGACUCAAAGCCGCAAGGCGUCGAAGGAGGAGCCCGCGCCCGAUUAGCUAGUUGGUAGGGUAACGGCCUACCAAGGCAAUGAUCGGUAGCUGGUCUGAGAGGAUGGCCAGCCACACUGGAACUGAGACACGGUCCAGACUCCUACGGGAGGCAGCAGUGGGGAAUCUUGCACAAUGGGCGAAAGCCUGAUGCAGCGACGCCGCGUGGGGGAUGAAGCAUCUCGGUGUGUAAACCCCUUUCGACCCGGAAGAAUGCCUCGCAAGAGGACUGACGGUACGGGUAUAAGAAGCCCCGGCUAACUACGUGCCAGCAGCCGCGGUAAGACGUAGGGGGCCAGCGUUGUUCGGAAUUACUGGGUGUAAAGGGUUCGUAGGCGGUGCGGCAAGUUGGGAGUGAAAUCUCUGGGCUCAACCCAGAGGCUGCUUCCAAAACUGCUGUGCUUGAGUGUGGGAGAGGCGCGUGGAAUUGCAGGUGUAGCGGUGAAAUGCGUAGAUAUCUGCAGGAACACCCGUGGCGAAAGCGGCGCGCUGGACCACUACUGACGCUGAGGAACGAAAGCUAGGGGAGCAAACAGGAUUAGAUACCCUAGUAGUCC
Molecule: ribosomal RNA, 786 nt
Filed under: uncultured bacterium
Lineage: Bacteria
Description: bacterial SSU rRNA
Rfam family: Bacterial small subunit ribosomal RNA
Source: RNAcentral